AAGGAUCAUUACCGAGUGAGGGCCCUCUGGGUCCAACCUCCCACCCGUGUUUAUUUUACCUUGUUGCUUCGGCGGGCCCGCCUUUACUGGCCGCCGGGGGGCUCACGCUCCCGGGCCCGCGCCCGCCGAAGACACCCCCGAACUCUGUCUGAAGAUUGCAGUCUGAGUGAAAACGAAAUUAUUUAAAACUUUCAUCAACGGAUCUCUUGGUUCCGGCAUCGAUGAAGAACGCAGCGAAAUGCGAAACGUAAUGUGAAUUGCAAAUUCAGUGAAUCAUCGAGUCUUUGAACGCACAUUGCGCCCCCUGGUAUUCCGGGGGGCAUGCCUGUCCGAGCGUCAUUGCUGCCCUCAAGCCCGGCUUGUGUGUUGGGCCCCGUCCCCCGAUCCCGGGGGACGGGCCCGAAAGGCAGCGGCGGCACCGCGUCCGGUCCUCGAGCGUAUGGGGCUUUGUCACGCGCUCCGUAGGCCCGGCCGGCGCCUGCCGAUCAACCCCAAAUUUUUAAUCCAGGUUGACCUCGGAUCAGGUAGGGAUACCCGCUGAACUUAA
RNAcentral lists this ribosomal RNA (547 nucleotides) under Penicillium digitatum. RNAcentral's name for it is "eukaryotic LSU rRNA". The stretch from base 187 to 339 matches the Rfam family "5.8S ribosomal RNA". Lineage: Eukaryota; Fungi; Ascomycota; Eurotiomycetes; Eurotiales; Aspergillaceae. The record is from RNAcentral.